CUUCGACUUGCUAAUAAGAGCAUAUUUGCAAAUAUAUAGAAUGAGGAACGAAACCGUAUCAUAACAUAAUGAAUCCAACAAUUUUUAAUUGUGUACCUUUUAUUAUAGAAUCGUUGUUAGUAAUAUCCUUAUUAUUUUUUCCUCUCACUGUUUCAGUCUCAAAUGAUCCAAUGUAACCAAAGAGUACCCUCAUGCAUGGUGCAUCACUUCGACACCAAAAAACUAGAAAAACAAUAAUUUUUUAUUUUUGUGUUACAUUUUAUUCCCUCCAUUUGCUGACUCAGGAGGAUUGGCCAACUUUAGAACGCAGGUCUUAAUGUCUUUGAGCAAGUCCAUUUUAACCGAAUCGGGAAUACUUUCAGUUGCAGACUGCAAGGCGCUCUCAUAUAGCUUUUGAAAAUCAAUUUUAGAAUCGGAAUUCACAAUUCCCCGAGUGUAGUCACGUAAUUGAGUUGUCCAACCGCAGGAU
Molecule: non-coding RNA, 469 nt
Organism: Schizosaccharomyces pombe (fission yeast)
Lineage: Eukaryota; Fungi; Ascomycota; Schizosaccharomycetes; Schizosaccharomycetales; Schizosaccharomycetaceae
Source: the annotation of a GenBank genome assembly